AUUGAACGCUGGCGGCAGGCCUAACACAUGCAAGUCGAACGGCUGAAGGGUACUUGCUCCUGGAUUCAGCGGCGGACGGGCGAGUAAUGCCUAGGAAUCUGGCAGGUAGUGGGGGCUAACGUCCGGACACGGGCGCUAAUACCGCAUACGUCCUGAGGGCGAACGUGGGGGAUCAUCGGACCUCACGCUCUCAGGUGAUCCGAGGACGGAUUAGCUAGUUGGCGGGGUAAAGGCCUACCAAGGCGACGAUCCGUAACUGGUCUGAGAGGAUGAUCAGCCACACUGGAACUGAGACACGGUCCAGACUCCUACGGGAGGCAGCAGUGGGGAAUAUUGGACAAUGGGCGAAAGCCUGAUCCAGCCAUGCCGCGUGUGUGAAGAAGGUCUUCGGAUUGUAAAGCACUUUAAGUUGGGAGGAAGGGCAGUAAGUUAAUACCUUGCUGUUUUGACGUUACCAACAGAAUAAGCACCGGCUAACUUCGUG
Molecule: ribosomal RNA, 484 nt
Filed under: uncultured bacterium
Lineage: Bacteria
Description: partial 16S ribosomal RNA
Rfam family: Bacterial small subunit ribosomal RNA
Source: RNAcentral